GUUAUUAUGACAUUUUAUCUUCCACAGACAUACGUUUUAAAUUUCUACGCUUGCUUGAUAGACAGACUUUUUGAUCGCACUGUAUAAUAGAUUUUAUAAAUUCAAUGACUGAAAAAAAAUCAGUGUUUCAAGUACUUAACUUCUGACCACUACCAUAACAAUUAGCUCAUUUAUUAACCGUUCCUUUGAUGAUUAGAUGAACCUUACAGUUAUGUAACAUUUACUGACCAACAGCAAUGGCGUCUUUAUCAACUUUAAUUAGUAUUAUACUAAUUAUCAGCGUUGGACAGAAAUUGUUAACUUAUCCAGUAAAGAUAUAAUUAGUGCUACUAUGUCGUCAAUGGAUCCAUUUGACUGGCUUGGUGCUCGUCCUCUUUUCAAUAGAGCAGAGAUUCCUUCUUUUUCCAUACAAAGAAAAACAGCACAAA
This is a long non-coding RNA of Tribolium madens (black flour beetle), 428 nucleotides long. RefSeq lists it as uncharacterized. The transcript is spliced from 3 exons. NCBI's taxonomy places the organism in Eukaryota, Metazoa, Arthropoda, Insecta, Coleoptera, Tenebrionidae. The record is from RefSeq and is a predicted model, not a curated record.